GAUGAACGCUGGCGGCGUGCCUAAUACAUGCAAGUCGAGCGAACAGACGAGGAGCUUGCUCCUCUGACGUUAGCGGCGGACGGGUGAGUAACACGUGGAUAACCUACCUAUAAGACUGGGAUAACUUCGGGAAACCGGAGCUAAUACCGGAUAAUAUAUUGAACCGCAUGGUUCAAUAGUGAAAGACGGUUUUGCUGUCACUUAUAGAUGGAUCCGCGCCGCAUUAGCUAGUUGGUAAGGUAACGGCUUACCAAGGCAACGAUGCGUAGCCGACCUGAGAGGGGGAUCCGCCCAACUGGAACUGAGACAACGUCCAGAACUCUAAGGGAGGGCGCCGGUGGGAAUUUUCCCGCAAGGGCGAAAGCCUGACGGAGCAACGCCGCGUGAGUGAUGAAGGUCUUCGGAUCGUAAAACUCUGUUAUUAGGGAAGAACAAAUGUGUAAGUAACUAUGCACGUCUUGACGGUACCUAAUCAGAAAGCCACGGCUAACUACGUG
This 497-nucleotide ribosomal RNA is filed under the name uncultured bacterium. RNAcentral's name for it is "partial 16S ribosomal RNA". It matches the Rfam family "Bacterial small subunit ribosomal RNA", at positions 28 to 507 of the family's 1533-position model. The record is from RNAcentral.